AUUUCUAAAAAUUCUCAAAUUUUACAGGAAUGAAGAUCUCAAUGAGUGGAACAAGUUUUAUACCUGUGACUAGGGCCAAUUUGGCUGAGAAAAGCCCAAAUUUAGCUCAAACCGUACGGAAACCUUAAAUUGGGUGUUCUCCAAAAUUUGUCCUCCAAUCGAACUCGAUGCUCCAAAACUUGUUUGGGCUUUGUUCCUGGGUUCUAGGGGAGUGUUUUGGUACUGUUAAUUUACUGGGUUACCUUCACAAUCAUCGCAUUUCACCAUGGCACCCAUGGAACCCAUGGGUUUCGUUCUACUCAAAUUCAAGCUCAAACCCAAUAAAAUUUGGUUGGAAAUGGAAGAGAGGAAGAUAAGGAUUUGUUUUUAGGUGGUGAUAAGGGUUAGAUAGCUGGAAAACCGACGGAAAAGUGUAGAGAAAGUGGCGGUGUGGGUGGUGCCCGACGAGUUACACAGACUAACCCGUGUUUCCCCCACUUUCUUGUCUCCUUUCCCCUCCCUUCUUCUGUUUCUGAUUGGCCAUUCUCUUCAUCUCUCCUCCUCAUUGGUUGCUCAUUCCCUCAUUCCUCUUCCAUGAUUAGGCAGUUCUGCCC
This 593-nucleotide long non-coding RNA is filed under the name Malus domestica (apple). RNAcentral describes it as "long non-coding RNA (MDOM_LNC004109)". Lineage: Eukaryota; Viridiplantae; Streptophyta; Magnoliopsida; Rosales; Rosaceae. The record is from RNAcentral.